UCGCGGCCUAUCAGCUUGUUGGUGAGGUAACGGCUCACCAAGGCGACGACGGGUAGCCGGCCUGAGAGGGCGACCGGCCAUACUGGGACUGAGAUACGGCCCAGACUCCUACGGGAGGCAGCAGUGGGGAAUAUUGCACAAUGGGCGAAAGCCUGAUGCAGCAACGCCGCGUGCGGGAUGACGGCCUUCGGGUUGUAAACCGCUUUCAGCAGGGACGAAGCUAACGUGACGGUACCUGCAGAAGAAGCACCGGCUAACUACGUGCCAGCAGCCGCGGUGAUACGUAGGGUGCGAGCGUUGUCCGGAAUUAUUGGGCGUAAAGAGCUUGUAGGCGGUUUGUUGCGUCGGAAGUGAAAACUCAGAGCUUAACUCUGAGCCUGCUUUCGAUACGGGCAGACUUGAGGGAUGUAGGGGAGAACGGAAUUCCUGGUGGAGCGGUGGAAUGCGCAGAUAUCAGGAGGAACACCAGUGGCGAAGGCGGUUCUCUGGACAUUUCCUGACGCUGAGAAGCGAAAGCGUGGGGAGCAAACAGGCUUAGAUACCCUGGUAGUCCACGCCGUAAACGGUGGGCACUAGGUGUGGGACCCUUCCACGGGUUCCGUGCCGUAGCUAACGCAUUAAGUGCCCCGCCUGGGGAGUACGG
RNAcentral lists this ribosomal RNA (643 nucleotides) under uncultured Actinomycetes bacterium. Its description in RNAcentral is "bacterial SSU rRNA". It matches the Rfam family "Bacterial small subunit ribosomal RNA", at positions 231 to 885 of the family's 1533-position model. Lineage: Bacteria; Bacillati; Actinomycetota; Actinomycetes. The record is from RNAcentral.